This 280-nucleotide ribosomal RNA is filed under the name uncultured bacterium. Its description in RNAcentral is "partial 16S ribosomal RNA". It matches the Rfam family "Bacterial small subunit ribosomal RNA", at positions 336 to 634 of the family's 1533-position model. The record is from RNAcentral.
UUCCUACGGGAGGCAUCAGUGGGGAAUAUUGCACAAUGGGCGAAAGCCUGAUGCAGCAACGCCGCGUGAGCGAUGAAGGCCUUCGGGUCGUAAAGCUCUGUCCUCAAGGAAGAUAAUGACGGUACUUGAGUAGGAAGCCCCGGCUAACUACGUGCCAGCAGCCGCGGUAAUACGUAGGGGGCUAGCGUUAUCCGGAAUUACUGGUCGUAAAGGGUGCGUAGGUGGUUUCGUAAGUCAGAUGUGAAAGGCUACGGCUCAACCGUAGUAAGCCUUUGCAACU